This 587-nucleotide ribosomal RNA is filed under the name uncultured archaeon. RNAcentral's name for it is "bacterial SSU rRNA". It matches the Rfam family "Archaeal small subunit ribosomal RNA", at positions 83 to 656 of the family's 1478-position model. The record is from RNAcentral.
CGGCUCAGUAACACGUAGUCAACCUGCCCUGGAGACAUGGACAACCCCGGGAAACUGGGAUUAAUCCGUGAUAGGUCAUCUCAUCUGGAAGGAGAGAUGGCUUAAAGGGGUGCGCGGGCUUCUUCUGCGUAUUUGCUCCAGGAUGGGACUGCGUCCGAUCAGGCUGUUGGCGGGGUAAUGGCCCACCAAACCUGUAACCGGUACGGGCCUUGAGAGAGGUGGCCCGGAGAUGGACACUGAGAGAAGGGUCCAGGUCCUACGGGGCGCAGCAGGCGCGAAACCUUCGCAAUGCGCGAAAGCGUGACGAGGUUAAUCCGAGUGACUCCCGCUGAGGGGGUCUUUUGUCAGCUGUAAAUAGGCAGGCGAAUAAGGGGAGGGCAAGCCUGGUGUCAGCCGCCGCGGUAAUACCAGCUCCUCGAGUGGUCGGGGCGAUUAUUGGGCCUAAAGCAUCCGUAGCCGGUUCCGUAGGUCCUCUGUUAAAUCCAACCGCUUAACGGUUGACAUGCAGAGGAUACCGCGAGACUAGGAGGCGGGAGAGGCGGACGGUACUCCGCGUGUAGGGGUAAAAUCCUUUGAUCCGCGGAAGA